AGUGACGCAGCGUUGGAUCGCAGGUGCAGCAAUCCGGAUAGCGUCGCCGAUCGACGCAAAUGCACCUGACAAAAUUAGCGCUCGCAGCGCAAAAUACGCUAUAUCGGCGCUGGCGCGUCCCGCUUAGACCAAUUCAGGCUUGCGGUGCGCGGAGAGAGGGAAACACAUGGCAGUCGACGGAAACUGGAAUAUCACCUUGNNNGGCGAUCGCGAUGCGACGCUGACGCUGAAAUCCGAUGGCGGCUCGCUGACCGGCAAGCAGGCAGCGGACGGCAACGAAGCCGAUAUCGUUGACGGAACGGUCAACGGCAACGACGUGGCAUGGAAGGCCGCGAUCACCAAUCCGAUGCCUCUGACGCUGGCCUUCACCGGCAAGGUCGACGGCGAUUCCAUCUCCGGCGAUGUCAGCAUCGGCCCGAUGGGCAGCUUCCCGUUCAAGGGAACGCGGGCGUAAGAACGCGCUCCCUCUUCCGU
Molecule: unclassified non-coding RNA, 474 nt
Filed under: Hevea brasiliensis (rubber tree)
Lineage: Eukaryota; Viridiplantae; Streptophyta; Magnoliopsida; Malpighiales; Euphorbiaceae
Source: RNAcentral